This 115-nucleotide ribosomal RNA is filed under the name Chlamydiales bacterium 38-26. Lineage: Bacteria; Pseudomonadati; Chlamydiota; Chlamydiia; Chlamydiales. RNAcentral also lists the same sequence under 1 other name. The record is from RNAcentral.
CUUGGUGGCAAUAGAGAGAGGGAAAUACCUGAUCCCAUACCGAACUCAGAAGUCAAGCCUCUCAUCGCCGAUGGUACUACACGCAAGAGUGUGGGAGAGUAGGUCGCCGCCAAGC